UAGAUUUGAUUUAAUUUUUAUUUCCUUCCUUUUGAAUACACUCCUUAAAACUAUUUUUAAGGAUCAAAGUGUUUCAAAUCGUUUACUGUGAAGAAAUUAGAGUGUUCAAAGCAGGCGUAACCUAGCCUUUGAAUAUAUUAGCAUGGGAUAAUGAAAUAGGACUUUAGUUCUACUUUCGUUGGUUUCUAGGGCUGAAGUAAUGAUUAAUAGGGAUAGUUGGGGUCACUAGUAUUUAAUUGUCAGAGGUGAAAUUCUAAGAUUUAUUAAAGACUAACUACUGCGAAAGCAUUUGACAAGGAUGUUUUCAUUAAUCAAGAACGAAAGUUGGGGGAUCGAAGAUGAUCAGAUACCGUCGUAGUCUCAACCAUAAACUAUGCCGACCAAGGAUCCGGGGUUGUUAAUAUGGAUGACUCUCCGGGCACUUAUAGAGAAAUCAUAAGUAUUUGGACUCCGGGGGGAGUAUGGUCGCAAGGCUGAAACUUAAAGGAAUUGACGGAAGGGCACCACAAGGAGUGGAACCUGCGGUUUAAUUUGACUCAACACGGGAAAACUUACCAGGUCCAGACACAGUGAGGAUUGACAGAUUGAGAGUUCUUUCUUGAUUCUGUGAGUGGUGGUGCAUGGCCGUUUCUAGUUGGUGGAGUGAUUUGUCUGGUUAAUUCCGUUAACGAACGAGACCUUAACCUAUUAAAUAGUUAUUUAAACUUGAUUUCUUGUAAAUCAAAUGUUUAACUAACUUCUUAGAGGGACUCUUCAC
Molecule: ribosomal RNA, 757 nt
Filed under: uncultured eukaryote
Lineage: Eukaryota
Description: bacterial SSU rRNA
Rfam family: Eukaryotic small subunit ribosomal RNA
Source: RNAcentral